This 876-nucleotide ribosomal RNA is filed under the name uncultured crenarchaeote. Its description in RNAcentral is "bacterial SSU rRNA". It matches the Rfam family "Archaeal small subunit ribosomal RNA", at positions 21 to 903 of the family's 1478-position model. Lineage: Archaea; Thermoproteati; Thermoproteota. The record is from RNAcentral.
ACCUGACUGCUAUCGGAUUGAUACUAAGCCAUGCGAGUCAUUGUAGCAAUACAAGGCAUACGGCUCAGUAACGCGUAGUCAACCUAACCUAUGGACGGGAAUAACCUCGGGAAACUGAGAAUAAUUCCCGAUAGAACAUUAUACCUGGAAUGGUUUAUGUUCCAAAUGAUUUAUCGCCAUAGGAUGGGACUGCGGCCUAUCAGUUUGUUGGUGAGGUAAUGGCCCACCAAGACUAUUACAGGUACGGGCUCUGAGAGGAGUAGCCCGGAGAUGGGUACUGAGACACGGACCCAGGCCCUAUGGGGCGCAGCAGGCGAGAAAACUUUGCAAUGUGCGAAAGCACGACAAGGUUAAUCCGAGUGAUUUCUGCUAAAGAGAUCUUUUGUUAGUCCUAGAAACACUAACGAAUAAGGGGUGGGCAAGCUCUGGUGUCAGCCGCCGCGGUAAAACCAGCACCUCAAGUGGUCAGGAUGAUUAUUGGGCCUAAAGCAUCCGUAGCCGGCUCUGUAAGUUUUCGGUUAAAUCUGUACGCUUAACGUACAGGCUGCCGGGAAUACUGCAGAGCUAGGGAGUGGGAGAGGUAGACGGUACUCGGUAGGAAGUGGUAAAAUGCUUUGAUCUAUCGAUGACCACCUGUGGCGAAGGCGGUCUACCAGAACACGUCCGACGGUGAGGGAUGAAAGCUGGGGGAGCAAACCGGAUUAGAUACCCGGGUAGUCCCAGCUGUAAACUAUGCAAACUCAGUGAUGCAUUGGCUUGUGGCCAAUGCAGUGCUGCAGGGAAGCCGUUAAGUUUGCCGCCUGGGAAGUACGUACGCAAGUAUGAAACUUAAAGGAAUUGGCGGGGGAGCACCACAAGGGGUGAAGCCUGCGGUUC